Molecule: transfer RNA, 71 nt
Filed under: Alligator mississippiensis (American alligator)
Lineage: Eukaryota; Metazoa; Chordata; Crocodylia; Alligatoridae
Rfam family: tRNA
About the family: Transfer RNA (tRNA) molecules are approximately 80 nucleotides in length. Their secondary structure includes four short double-helical elements and three loops (D, anti-codon, and T loops).
Source: Rfam by way of RNAcentral
UGUGUUGUGAUUCAGUGGUAGAAUCCUUAUCUUCCACAUGGGAGACCCAGGUUUGAGUCUUGGCUGGACAU